Molecule: long non-coding RNA, 2078 nt
Organism: Lynx canadensis (Canada lynx)
Lineage: Eukaryota; Metazoa; Chordata; Mammalia; Carnivora; Felidae
Exons: 2
Source: RefSeq, a predicted model, not a curated record
CCUGGGUCUGAAAGGGGAAGUCCAGAUGUAGGUGCCUGGCUUUGCAUUGCCCGGGCAAGUCGUGCACCCCUGGGUGGCUCCACCUCUGCCCGCUCCCCAGGGAGAACCUACCCACAGGGAUCUGAGGCGUUGGGAGGUGCCUGGAAGGUUGGAGGAACCGAGGGGGCGCCGCGAGGAAAAAUGUUUCCGCCCACCCCGAGCCUCUCCUCCGACCGGGGACAGGAUUUGGGGGGUCUAUUGUUCCGGUCCUACAGCGCUGAGCCGGGGCUUUCCCACGAAGUGCUGCUACCACCUGCUGGUUCUUUCAAGGAACACAGGCGACUGGUGGAAGUCCCUCUGGCCUUUCCCCCCUCCUCCCCGUAUCACCGGGUGGCAUCUCAGUUCUCCCACUUACUUACUUCGUUUACCCAAGACGAGGGAAAGCGCUAGCUAGCUGCAAACGGGCUGAUCACAAAAGUGGUACUUAAGGAGCAUUCAGAAACCGAGGAAAAUUGUGAAAGAGAUCUGUGAGCCAACAAGCACAAUAAAGGAAACAAUGCAACUCAUUAGAAGGCACCUGGGAGAAACAAACCGGCUUUAAUGAAUUGGCUGAAUGAGUGAUGGAAACUGAAAGGCGACUGAACUAGUCCCCACUUGGCAAGGGGGUUGUUCUCUCUCGAUAUCUGCAGUCAAUUAAUAAGCCUAAUGAUGUUGAAUGAUUCUGCAUUUGGGCAGCUUCGAUAAGUCCGCUUGCACCGGUGAGCCUCACCAGAUCUUGUUUCUUCCCCUUGCUCUGAAAUUCAGUUGGUAGAGAGCUGCUUUCAUUUCCUUUCCAAACCAGGCAUCUCCGAGGCCUGGAAACACUUUUGAGAAGAAACCUGAAUUUACAUUGUAUGUGAUAUUAUAUAACUCAUUAUCCUAGUUACAGUAACAACAUGACUGCCAGAAAGCUCUGGGUGCAGUGGAAACUUUUGUUUUUCUCUUUAAAGCGCACGAUUAAAUUAUGUUAAAAGCAGCAACAAAACAAAAACAGAAGUUACUUUAUAAAACCCAGAAAUUCCAGUAGUGAUUUGCAAUGCAUGGUAUAUGCUGACAGCAUAGUAAAAAUAUCUGUUCUUUUCUAUUGCCUGAUGUAUCCCAUUGUUAACACUGGGUGCCUGUGAUCUGAAAUUAAGUUUUUGUUGUGCGAGGCUUAUGUAAUGAGCAUUUUUUCUCUUGUUGAUAACAUUUGCGAGGGGUCCAGUCUUCAGAGAAAGCACCCUUGUACUCUGCAAGCAAAGAGGUGAUUCCGAUUGGCCCUGUAUCAUCAUCUCCUGUGUGUUAAACCACGUUGUAAAGGGGUGGAUGCCAGGCCUGACUCUGGUUCUUGAGAAGAAAACAGACUUCUGCUGGCAGCACUUGUGAGAACGCUUUUGGCUUUCUAUGAAGAGACACAGAUUUGGCUGAUGUGGCUUUCUCCUUUGUCGCCUCUUGAAAUCUUCUGUUGGACGUUGUAUUGGUCUCCUAUCAAUGCCAUAAAAAAAACUUAGUGGCUGAAAACCACACAAAUGUAUUAUCUUACAGUUCUAAAUUUGGGUCAGAAGUCCAAAAUGGGUCUGAACUGGGUUAAGGAAAACAAACAAACAAACAAAACAAAACAAACCCUCAAAGUAUAGGAGGGCUGUGUUCCUUGUCUAGGCUCUAGGGAGAAUCUUUCCUUGCCUUUUGUAGAGCAACUUCUGGGGCCACUGCAUUCCUUAACUCAUGGUCUUUAUCCUCAAAGCCAGUAAUAUCGGCUGAAUUCUUUUGCUGACUCUCUUCCGUCUCCCUCUUCCACUCAUGAUUAUAGUGGGUCCACCCAGAUAAUCCAGGAUCAUCUCUGUAUCUCAAAGUCAGGCGAUUAGCAACCUUAAUUCUAUCUGCAAACCUAAUUCCCUUUUGCUUUGUAAACUAACAUAACAUCCUAAUUCCAAGGAUUCCGAUGUGGAUUUUUAGGGGACCUCCCAUUAUUCUGCCUACCACAGACAUGAUGGCUGGAGCUUCAGCAUCCCUAUUAGCAACUGGGCCAAAGCCAGAAACUAUGUACUCUUUUUUGUUGUUGUUACAUGAGAAAAAAAAAA